Molecule: long non-coding RNA, 1063 nt
Organism: Cyprinus carpio carpio
Lineage: Eukaryota; Metazoa; Chordata; Actinopteri; Cypriniformes; Cyprinidae
Source: Ensembl
ACGUGCUGCAGUUCUUUACCGCUUUAAAUUUUCGCGCUCUUUAAAGUUUGCUGGAUUCCGAUUGGCUGUCUCUUUUGCUGUUCAUCAGCAGGGAAAAAACUUUCUGUAAAAGUGACUCCGAUGAUAUUGUUCAUCUGUGUCGUUAUCUUUAUAUUUGUGGUGUGGACUUUUUUUAAUUUAUAGAUAUUUUUAAAACAAUAUCUUUCUAUUUAUCGUUAUAGUUAUCAUUCCAAGGGUGCUUUUUACACUAGCACUUUUGGUGCGCACCCGGGUUCGAUUGACGUCAGAGUUCGGUUCGUUUGGAUGAUGUGAACGCUGUCUUCCGAACUCGGGUGCACACGCGUGAACCGUACCCGAGACCGCUUAAAAAGUGUAGUCUAGGGAACGGUUCAUGUGAACUCUGGUACAGUUCGCUGCUGAUGUGAAUGCAAUCAUACCAAAUAGCGGAAGUGAACCGCAAUUAAUGACGUAUAAUUUGAUAAAGAUGUGUUUGUGUGUGUGUUUCACUCACUUUCCUAACGAGCGUGACUGACGCGCUGCAAACAGAGAGCUGUAUAUCUCAUUUCUCUUCACCUUCAGCGUUCUUUCGAGCAUUUCUAGUACAUUCGCAAGACAUACGGUUCAAAUACGUAAAUAUAUAAAAGUGCAGAGAGCAAUGUUAUGCAUUAGCCGCCUUCUCCUGCGCCGCCGUUACUAAGCAACGGGGUAAACAGCUGCUGGCUUGAUGACACAAACGAACUGUGGUUCGGACCCAAAUGAAAUAAUAUGAACGCAGUCCAGCGGGGGCAGGGGGAGGGGAAAGCAAUCGAACUCGGGUUCGGACCAGGCAAAACACCCAAAACACCCUAGCUACAUAACAGUAAGUAUUAUUUUUUUCAAAAGUAAAGAUCUAGCAUUAUAUUUCCCAUGUAAAACAGUGUCCUGUGAAGGCCAUCAAGAGAGUUUAUGUUGAAGAGAGAGAUUAGGGUCCAUAGGUUCAGUCAUGGGUAAUGCACCAUAAACACAAGCGCUCUCUCAUGCUGCGCGUCAUUAAGAUCGAAAACUACCAUCGAGUGUUGCCACA